AAACAAACAAAAUGAAUUUGAGAGGUUAUAAGUGUUUGCAAGUGUCACCGUGGAGACCAGAGAAUGGAUUGUCACCAUGGAGACUUGCAUAAACACUGCCUGUAAUGAUUUCCAUGGGGAAUGAGAUAUAGAAGAGAUUUGGGAAGGAGGAUAUAUAAAUGGAGCUGGCACUCUGUGUACAUAGUCCAAGAGAUUUAACUUCAAGAAAAAAUUAUGUUCAAGUCAGGAGAAAAUAGCUGAUUGAGAAACAUUGACGAUAAAUUCCCAAUACUACUAAGGAAAAUGUCACUACAAAGUGAAGCAAACCUGGCUGAGAGUCUCAAGAUGGCAGACAGGACAGUGAUGGGGUCCUCAACAGCUCCAGCAGCAGUGGGGAUAAAGAGGACAUACAACGUGAAGGCUGAUUGGAGGAGGUUUCCAACUCACUCAAGUCAAACAUCAGGAGAGGAAGCAGCCCCUGAGCUCCCUUCCUCCCCAGCCAGCCCACCCUUGCAUCAGAGCCAGAAGUCCCAUAGUGCUGCCGGAAUAUCUUUGCCAGCCCUUACCCUUAUCCCACGGUCAUGUAGUGGUGGAUUUAUUUGUCUUUCCCCCUAGACCGUGAGGUCCUUGGUACCUCCACAGUCUGACACAUUGCAGUCAUCCUGUUACUGAGUAAAGGAAUGAGGUACUUAAAAUAUGUACAAAUAAAAAUGUAGCACAAGUUGCCA
Molecule: long non-coding RNA, 707 nt
Filed under: Felis catus (domestic cat)
Lineage: Eukaryota; Metazoa; Chordata; Mammalia; Carnivora; Felidae
Description: lncRNA (ENSFCAG00000049707.1)
Source: RNAcentral